RNAcentral lists this ribosomal RNA (470 nucleotides) under uncultured bacterium. RNAcentral describes it as "bacterial SSU rRNA". It matches the Rfam family "Bacterial small subunit ribosomal RNA", at positions 29 to 506 of the family's 1533-position model. The record is from RNAcentral.
ACGAACGCUGGCGGCGUGCCUAAUGCAUGCAAGUCGAGCGACGCACACCGGAGGGGUAACCCACUGGUAUGACGGAGCGGCGAACGGGUGAGUAACACGUGAGCAACCUGCCCCACAGAUCGGGAUAGCCCAGGGAAACCUGGAUUAAUACCGAAUAUCCUCGAGUAACCACAUGAUUGUUCGAGGAAAUGCCUUUGUGCUGUGGGAUGGGCUCGCGGCUUAUCAGCUAGUUGGUGGGGUAACGGCCUACCAAGGCAUCGACGAGUAGCUGGUCUGAGAGGACGAUCAGCCACACUGGGACUGAGACACGGCCCAGACUCCUACGGGAGGCAGCAGCAGGGAAUCUUGCGCAAUGGGCGAAAGCCUGACGCAGCAACGCCGCGUGGGGGAUGAAGGCCUUCGGGUUGUAAACCCCUUUCAGGAGGGAAGAAAUUGACGGUACCUCCAAAAGAAGCCCCGGCCAACUACGU